This 57-nucleotide non-coding RNA is filed under the name unclassified sequences. RNAcentral's name for it is "L17-Actino-Proteobacteria ribosomal protein leader". It matches the Rfam family "L17-Actino-Proteobacteria ribosomal protein leader". The record is from RNAcentral.
GGCGAGCCCCGUGUCGGGCCCGCCCUUCUCACCCGGUACCUGAUACGGCCGGAGUGA